CAAUUAUUUCCUCUUUCGUCUACUCUCCAAACAUUUCUUUCCUCCGUCCUCCCCCCGUGGUAUGUUUAUGAGCUAAUGCGUCUAUUAGUGAGGCCUUCCUUAUGCAUGUAUUUUUUCCUCCGGGUUAACAGAGGCAGUUCCCGCCUAAUUAUAAUCGCAUCCAUUAAAUCAUCAAGCGUUACCGAUUGGCCGGCAUUCGUGUUUGCUUUCCAUUCAUGUCUCAUAAUUAUGGGUUUUUAUCCAUCGAAAAAAAUGUCCGGCAAGCUUGAUUAUUAAGCAAUUUGGCCCGCAUGGCAGCCGCGCCGGGCCGCCUCCUCGGUAAUACAGUCAUUACUUCCAUAGGCUCAUUCCUGCCCCACUUUCAGAAGAGAGCGAUAACCGGACAGAGUUAACACAUUUUUACGCUGGACAUUCACAUAACUGAUCGGCCGCUGGGCAGCCAUGUUAGCAGUAAACACAAACACCCUGCCGGUAUUACUACACCCAAAACAGGAGAAAUUCCAAUAAAAAUAGUAUAAACGGCUACCAUGAGCUUACCCCUCCCUCCGCCCUCCCUGCCCCACGAAACAGAGGUCUGUAAGAGCGAGAGGGAGGGAGCGAGAGGGAGGGAUAGAGAGAAGGGUAAACCAGAGGCCGUCCUGACCACCACGACCACCGCCACCACAGAGCCUCGCCUCAAUACCCCACCCCACCCCGCCGCCACCGCCGCCGCUGCUGCCGCCGCUGCUGCCGCCACCACCUCUCCCGCCAUGUUGUAGUGGACGCUUACCCCGCGGCGGCUGGGGGACGCCACAGUGCUCCCCUCCGGCCCGGCAGCCCCAUGGCGUCUCUCCGAGACGACAGGGGGAGUGCAAGCGACACGAAAAGUCCUGACAACGCACAGACGCCUCGUCACGCCGCGCCGCCACCCUCGGGGAGUCGAGCCGCCAGCCGGAGCGCCUCGCCCUUCCAAUAACAGGUCAAGCCGGAGUUCCCGAAACGAAGGAGGAGGAGAUAUCGUGACCCGGGGACGAGCACGAGUGAUUGGAUCCCGAAGAUGUGGUGCAGCCAAUCAGGGUGACGGCAGGGACGGAGCAGUGACUAUGGAGGAAGACCGCCUCGCAGUCUUCCCUUCAGCCGCCUCUCCUCGCACCAUCGUCCCCCCGCUGCUCGUCCUCCCGGCUCCUCCCAAAUUCUACCUCCCUCCACUCAAGCGUCGCAGCACCCCCGCAGAGUCAACACUGGGGAGGCUCCGGCCCAGAUACGGAGCGAGAUAAGUCAAUAAAAUCGCCCUCUUAGCCGGCCAACCACAGACAGAUGAGGAUAUUUACAAGGAAUUAACUUUCCUCCUCUCGCGGACCAGUUAAAGAUGCUCGCCAUUUGAGUUAGGCGAAGGGCGAACGAGAGGACUGUGGCUGUCCCCGUCUGGUGUGUGCCUUGACAUCUCGACCUGUGAUUAGACGUAUAAAUACCUUCUCGUGACGUUAAUGUUCCCCUCCCCCGCCUCGAGGCAGCUGUACGGUGUGAGGGGCAGGGAAGGGUAAGGAUACCAAUACACCUCAUCCAUCUCCCUUUAUCCUUGGACAUGAACUUAGAGCCACUACAGCGUGUCUUCACAGCGUCCUGGGCCAAGGGAGGACAGGGGUGACACGAUUCAUAUUGAUUACAAACUUUUGUAACCAAAGUUAUAUUUUGUUUACUCGGCAAAAUUGUAGCAACAGCAAAACACAUUUAUGAUAUUUAAUAUUUGCCAAGGCUAAAGUAUGAACUUUUCAAAUAUUCCCAUCAAAAGUAUGGGACGUUCUUUUUAUUAAAUUUUGAAUAUAUCUAAUCCUCUUUGUUCAGUUGAAGCAGCAGACAACACAGAAUAUUGAAUGAAGUUAAUCAAAAGCAAGAUCUUGAAAUAUUAAAUAUACAAAUGAUUUGACAUGCAAUAUAUACCAGCUUAGUAGUAAAAUAUUUUCCAUUUAUACAACCGACAUUUUGUGAUUCAAACGCCUGGCCGCUGAGCCCCGCCCGCCGCCCCGAGCUCAUCCCUCUGCCGUAUUGUCAGGUGCAGGUGCGCGACACUUUAUGGCACAGGUACAGGAUCACGAAAAUACUAAUCGACAGUCACACAUAUAUUGCUCACGCGUCCCAAUCUUCAGUAAAUAAUGGUGCGUGUCCGCCGCUCUGGUCAAUACCAAAUUUUUCUUUUAAUGCCGGGGUGGCGGCGCGUACGCCGGGCCAGUCCCAGGUAUUCGCUGUGAAUAAAUAUAAAAGAUUUACUCGGCCCAGACAUGCAGAUCUGCCAAACGUUGCCUGGAUCCAUACGGCUUGUGUUUCAUGGUCAAUAAUUCUGGUUAUGUUUACGAGGCGGACUUCUGGCGUGUAAUUGAUUAAGGAACAUAAAUCUUUAAGGAGGGGGGGGGGGGAGGACCCAAGGUAUUGUAGCGUAGGCACGCAGUGUACUAUUCUUUUAGUCUAGUGCAGUAAGGGAGCAGGAAGGGAACCUCCAGCUCCCUUAAGACAUUCCUCUAUUAACGAAUUAUUCGGAUAAUAAUUAUAAAAGUAAUUGGAUAAUUACCUGUAAUUUAUUUAUUAUACUAUGUAGGUAAAUAUAAAAUGGCACAGCUAUAAUCUGGAUUAAAUGUUGCCUGUGUUUAUAAGGCGGGGUGUGGACGGCCACGGGCGACAUUUUGUAACGAACCUGAACGUUGCAGAAAUUGGAACGUGGGAUGUUUGUGUCGGGAAAAAAGGUGCCCCAAAAAGUUUAAUGCACACCUUUGUGGUAGAAAAGAUUUUACUGCCUCAGCAUCGUCAGGUGCGUCGAUAAAUUCACAACGCCCCGUAGGUUAGUUGAUGUAUUUUUUUACUAUAAUAUUGUUUAAUAGAUUACAGUUAUUGCAACUGUUGUUUUUGUUAGUAUUACCUACAUACCCGAUAAGUAAAAAAUGUUGUAUUCAUUGAGUGUGUUAAUGUUUAAAAGUGAUUUCUUUUUACAUUCCGUUGUGUGAUGUUAAUAUUUUAAUACUUCUGAUAUGCUUAAUGUAACCUCUAAAAGUAUGAUGCGCUUUUGUACGAGCCCUGAGCCACGUCCGAGGCAUUGAUUCCUUGCUCCUUUUAUCUUAUUCACAGAAGACUCGAUGAACCGUAACACGCAACAGUCGGGAGAAAGUUUUUUUUCAGCCUAUAAUUUAUAUUUCCUUCCUUGCAAUAAAGUUCUUAAAGUGUCUUCCUGUUGUCGCAAUCAGUGACAAAAUCCUGCCUGAGACGACUUGUGAUAGCAGUGAUUGGUGGCGUGCUGAGUGGCUGACACAAGUGUUUCAACGCUGCCAAACCACUAACUUAUCAGUGGUUUUUUUUUUAUGAUGGACUAAAAUAGCAUCGCAGAGGUCAUUACAGAAAGUUGAGAUCAUGAGAAUGUCCGGGGUCAUGAGGGGGCGACGGCGACCUCUACAUGGAUGUGGUUGUGUAACGACGUGCCAUCAGGACACGUCGCUCCCUCACUAAAGCAUGACACACCACAACUUUUUUUUUCUGGAUGGCCUGACGACCCGGCACGCUACAGUGAGGCCAGAAUACCUUUCACGUCGCCAGUAUAUUCUUGGCUUUGUAUGAUUGCCUAAUAAAACAUGACUUAAGAAUA
Eriocheir sinensis (Chinese mitten crab) is the source of this 3607-nucleotide long non-coding RNA. RefSeq lists it as uncharacterized. NCBI's taxonomy places the organism in Eukaryota, Metazoa, Arthropoda, Malacostraca, Decapoda, Varunidae. The record is from RefSeq and is a predicted model, not a curated record. The transcript has 3 exons.